UGUUCCAAGCCUUGCUAAGGUGAGAACAUAGCUGAAGUGAUCGGGAAUGCCGGUGAAAAUCCGGCAGCGGACCCCGCCACUGUAACUGCACAAGAAAGCCUCGUGUUCUCACUGCACUAAGCGGGAAGGGAACAGAAACAACGGCAGCAGUAGCCAGGAGACCGGCUUCAGCACACGUAGAUCA
RNAcentral lists this non-coding RNA (184 nucleotides) under Corynebacterium pseudotuberculosis. RNAcentral also lists the same sequence under 1 other name. Lineage: Bacteria; Bacillati; Actinomycetota; Actinomycetes; Mycobacteriales; Corynebacteriaceae. The record is from RNAcentral.